Molecule: RNA transcript, 1101 nt
Organism: Phragmites australis (common reed)
Lineage: Eukaryota; Viridiplantae; Streptophyta; Magnoliopsida; Poales; Poaceae
Exons: 4
Source: RefSeq, a predicted model, not a curated record
GAACCCGAUGCGGCCCCACCGCACCGGAGGGGCCUCGGGCGGCGGCGACACGAGCGCGUUCUUCGCGGUGACGCUGGUGCUGUGGGCGGUGUCGGUGGGGUUUGAGAUCGGCGUGCGGGGGCGACGCGAGCUGGCGCCCGUGGCCGCCGGGUUCGCCUUCUUCCAGGCCGCCAACGCCGCGGUCCGCGCCGCGGUCUCACGCGACCCCCUCUUCGUCAACACCGCCGUCUCUCUCCUCCACUCCUCCCUCACCUCCGUCUCCAUUAUCUUUGUUCUCGUCAACCAAUGGCGUAGUAAGGGCCUUGAGAACAUGUUUGAGCAUGAAGAACUAUUUGGUGGCAGUUGGAUUGGAGCAUAUUCUGCUCUGUGCUUCUCUUGUGGCUACUUUGCAUACGACCAAUUGGACAUGCUCCGUUACCGUCUAUACAGUGGAUGGAUUUCUGGAAUUCUCAUGCAUCACCUGAUUCUGCUAAUUUGCUUUACGCUAGCUCUCUAUAGGAAUGUCACAAUCAACUACCUAAUUCUCUCUCUUGUAUGCGAGCUGCACUCCAUAUUUUUGCAUGUAAGGAAAGUGAGGCGAAUGGCUGGAUUUCGUGAUUUCAACAGAAAAAUUGUGAAGCUGGAAUGGGUACUCAACUGGGCUACCUUUGUGACAGCAAGGGUGAUAUGCCAUAUAUUGAUUACAUAUAAACUGAUCACUGAUGCCCACAAGUUUGGUAAGGGCAUUGAGCUUCCAUUAGCUCUUUUUGGUAUGGCAGGGAUGAAUCUGCUCAACAUAUUUUUAGGGCUCGAUCUAUUUAAAGCGUAUGCACGAGAAAGAAAUCAGCAGAGGCAUCAGGACUGAAUGCACCUUCCUUGAUGGUGUACUCUAAAUUUUGACAUGGUUAUAAUUGUGCUCGCGUAAAGACAGAGAGGUAUCUUCAAGUCUUGAUUAGCCUCUACCCCGGAGCGUAACGGUUUAUGUUAUACGCAGACAGGUGAACAGGAUGGAGAGAUACUAAGAUGCCUUGUUAACUUGUAAACUGGCCCUAGAAGGCUACAAAACUCUCUUCUUUAUCUUUAUCUUUAAAAUAUGAUAAUUUCUCACUGUGAAGUAAAUCU